RNAcentral lists this ribosomal RNA (494 nucleotides) under uncultured Sphingobacteriales bacterium. Its description in RNAcentral is "bacterial SSU rRNA". It matches the Rfam family "Bacterial small subunit ribosomal RNA", at positions 904 to 1382 of the family's 1533-position model. Lineage: Bacteria; Pseudomonadati; Bacteroidota; Sphingobacteriia; Sphingobacteriales. The record is from RNAcentral.
GCCAGCCCGCUCAGAAACUCAAGGAAUUGACGGGGCCCGCACAAGCGGUGGAGCACGUGGUUUAAUCGAUGAUACGCGAGGAACCUUACCUGGGCUCAAAUGUAUGUUGACGUAUUCUGAAAGGGAUACUUCUUCGGACAAUAUACAAGGUGCUGCAUGGUUGUCGUCAGCUCGUGCCGUGAGGUGUCGGGUUAAGUCCCAUAACGAGCGCAACCCCUAUCAUUAGUUGCCAUCAGGUCAAGCUGGGGACUCUAAUGAAACUGCCUACGCAAGUAGUGAGGAAGGUGGGGAUGACGUCAAAUCAGCACGGCCCUUACGUCCAGGGCUACACACGUGCUACAAUGGCCGGUACAAAGGGCAGCUACCUGGUGACAGGAUGCUAAUCUCAAAAGCCGGUCUCAGUUCGGAUCGGAGUCUGCAACCCGACUCCGUGAAGCUGGAAUCGCUAGUAAUCGCGCAUCAGCCAUGGCGCGGUGAAUACGUUCCCGGGCCUU